Molecule: ribosomal RNA, 464 nt
Filed under: uncultured bacterium
Lineage: Bacteria
Description: bacterial SSU rRNA
Rfam family: Bacterial small subunit ribosomal RNA
Source: RNAcentral
CCAGACUCCUACGGGAGGCAGCAGUGAGGAAUAUUGGUCAAUGGCCGGAAGGCUGAACCAGCCAAGCCGCGUGAAGGACGAAGGUGCCAAGCAUUGUAAACUUCUUUUGUCAAGGGACAAAAUCAGGCUCGAGAGCCUGACCGAGGGUACUUGAAGAAAAAGCAUCGGCUAACUCCGUGCCAGCAGCCGCGGUAAUACGGAGGAUGCGAGCGUUAUCCGGAUUUAUUGGGUUUAAAGGGUGCGCAGGCGGAGGUGCAAGUCAGCGGUCAAAUGUCGGUGCUCAACACCGGCCUGCCGUUGAAACUGGUCUUCUUGAGUGAGCGAGAAGUAUGCGGAAUGCGUGGUGUAGCGGUGAAAUGCAUAGAUAUUGCGCAGAACUCCGAUUGCGAAGGCAGCCUACCGGCUCCUGUCUGACGCUGAGGCACGAAAGCGUGGGUAUCGAACAGGAUUAGAUACCCGAGUAU